This 433-nucleotide ribosomal RNA is filed under the name uncultured bacterium. Its description in RNAcentral is "partial 16S ribosomal RNA". It matches the Rfam family "Bacterial small subunit ribosomal RNA", at positions 29 to 507 of the family's 1533-position model. The record is from RNAcentral.
AACGAACGCUGGCGGCAUGCCUAACACAUGCAAGUCGAACGAGACCUUCGGGUCUAGUGGCGCACGGGUUCGUCACGCGUGGGAACCUUCCCUUAGGUUCGGAAUAACUCCCCGACAGGGGUGCUUAUACCGGAUAAUGUCUUCGGCCCAAGGAUUUAUCGCCUUUGGAUGGGCCCGAGUUGGAUUAGCUAGUUGGUAGGGUAAGAGCAUACCACGGCGACGAUCCAUAGCUGGUCUGAGAGGAUGAUCAGCCACACUGGGACUGAGACACGGCCGAGACUCCUACGGGAGGCAGGAGUGGGGAAUAGUGGACAAUGGGCGAAAGCAUGAUCCAGCAAUGCCGCGUGAGUGAUGAAGGCAUUAGGGUUGUAAAGCUCUUUUACCCGGGAUGAUAAUGACAGUACCGGGAGAAUAAGCUCCGGCUAACUCCGUG